RNAcentral lists this unclassified non-coding RNA (425 nucleotides) under soil metagenome. RNAcentral describes it as "partial contains 5.8S ribosomal RNA, internal transcribed spacer 2, and large subunit ribosomal RNA". The stretch from base 1 to 120 matches the Rfam family "5.8S ribosomal RNA", at positions 35 to 154 of the family's 154-position model. The record is from RNAcentral.
GAUGAAGAACGUAGCGAAAUGCGAUAAGUAGUGUGAAUUGCAGAAUUCCGUGAAUCAUCGAAUCUUUGAACGCACAUUGCGCCUUCUGGUAUUCCGGAAGGCAUGCCUGUUCGAGAGUCAUUAACAACCGUUUCGAUCCCUUUCUUUCAGAAAUUACAAAGAGGAAAAGGGUUUAGUUAUGGUGGAGGAGGGAAAGGGAGCGUUUAGCCUGUAAAAAAAGAGGCUGUGUUCCGCCUCCCCCCCAAAAUUGUACAGGCGGUCGUGUGCGCCCACGCAUCGAGGUGUUGUAAAAGCUGCCACGGCACUUUUCACCUGUGCAGUGCGAGAUUGGCCAGCCGGUUUAAAAACCCCUCCAAACAAUCAAAGGUUGACCUCGGAUCAGGUAGGGAUACCCGCUGAACUUAAGCAUAUCAAUAAGCGGAGGA